Molecule: long non-coding RNA, 1340 nt
Organism: Peromyscus eremicus (cactus mouse)
Lineage: Eukaryota; Metazoa; Chordata; Mammalia; Rodentia; Cricetidae
Exons: 6
Source: RefSeq, a predicted model, not a curated record
GGGGGAGAGAAUGGCUUCUGAAACCAGGCUUCUUUGCUUCCCUAUAUAAUGGCUGUAAAAACCUUGAGUCUCAGAUCACUUAUCUGUGAAAUGAAGACAACAGAAACUAUCUAACUGAGUUGAUAAAUGAUUGAAUGAAUUAAAAUUUGUAAACACUUGAAGAUUAUGUGGUACAUAGCUAUGUGAGUGUUUUACAAAUAAGUAAUCAAGAUCCCAAUGGUGUCCAUUAAGCUUGUAAUGAAAGGAACCUGACUAUACAUGAGAACUUUGCAACCUUCCACAAGGAAGAAGGAAAAACCCUUCAAGGACACAGAAGAACUCAAGUUCAAGCAGUGUAGCACUGACAUCAGUUGCAAAGAAAUGAAGGCUACAAAUGGAUUGUGUUGUCACUUAACAAGAAGUGGGCACAGGUUGAGCAACCUCUGACAGUGACAGAUACAAAUGACUCUACAGGAAAUUGCUGGAAUCAUUAUCCAAAAGAUUAACCAACAGGCCACUGGGAAGAGGAAUAUGUAUGUGUUGGAUUAGAUCUGAAUCUACAAGACAAGGUGGCUGAAAAUUACUAUCAUAUUAAGGACAGAGAUGCUUAUAUGAGUUGCCAUAAGUACUUGCUCACAUUGGUAAAGGCAGGAGGCUGAAAAGGAGUAGAGUUCACAAGAUCUGCAUGAACAAAGCAGAGGUGGUAAAAGGACACCUUUCUCAUGUGAUAUUUGUGGCUCUGACUGAGACUAGAAUGACUAGUGCCGUCGCUGGACCUGUCUGAUGACAAAAAGGACCACAAAGCUCCUUACAUAUGAGUCUCCAGUACCUUUCUACACCCUUCAUGGCCUGCAAGGCUCCGGAUGGUCUGGACCUUUCCUUCUGGUUCUCCAAUCUCCAUCUACUGUUCUGACUACAUCAGAAGUUCCUUCUUUGGCUGUUCACCUGAAUUAUGUUUGGAGGCUGGGAAAAUGGAUCUGUGGGAAAAGAGCACAUGCUGUUCAAACAUGAAGACACGAGUUCAUAUCCUUGGUAUGGCUAUGCAUGCCUGUAAACCCCAGCCCUCCUGAAAUGGGCACCCCUCCAGCCCUCUGUGUUCUGACCUCGUAGAUCCUGCUGUGUACGAACACCACCCAUACUCUGUCUUGGCAUUCGAAGAGAAGUUCUUAAAGGAGUAUGCCUCUGCUCAUCCAGGUGACUUAAUGUAUCUUAAUAACUACUGUAGGAGCUUCAGAGCAAAGGAAGUGGCUUAAUGACCCUGCAAGGAAUUCUCCUGGUGAUAGCUUUUAUAUUAUCAAGUUUCUCUUCAUAAUCAGAAGAGUUGUUUCAUUUCAUCUCGGAGCAGGAAACAGCAGUCUGCU